Molecule: ribosomal RNA, 234 nt
Filed under: uncultured bacterium
Lineage: Bacteria
Description: partial 16S ribosomal RNA
Rfam family: Bacterial small subunit ribosomal RNA
Source: RNAcentral
CGGGUGAGUAACACGUAUGCAAUCCACCUGUAACAGGGGGAGUAACCCGGAGAAAUCCGACUAAUACCCAUAAUAUGGGCGCUCCGCAUGGAGAGUCCAUUAAAGAGAGCAAUCUUGGUUACAGACGAGCAUGCGCUCCAUUAGCCAGUUGGCGGGGUAACGGCCCACCAAGGCGACGAUGGAUAGGGGCUCUGAGAGGAAGGUCCCCCACAUUGGAACUGAGACACGGUCCAA